AGUGGCGAACGGGUGAGUAACACGUAGGUAACCUGCCUCUUUGACUGGGAUAACUGCUGGAAACGGUAGCUAAUACCAGAUAGGUAUAUGGAUGGCAUCAUUCAUAUAUUAAAGGCGCUCAUGGCGCUGCGAAGAGAUGGACCUGCGGUGUAUUAGCUAGUUGGUGAGGUAAUGGCUCACCAAGGCGAUGAUACAUAGCCGACCUGAGAGGGUGACCGGCCACAUUGGGACUGAGACACGGCCCAAACUCCUACGGGAGGCAGCAGUAGGGAAUUUUCGGCAAUGGGGGGAACCCUGACCGAGCAACGCCGCGUGAAGGAAGAAGGAAUUCGUUCUGUAAACUUCUGUUAUAAAGGAAGAAAGAGGCAGUCAGGAAAUGGACUGCAGGUGACGGUACUUUAUGAGAAAGCCACGGCUAACUACGUGCCAGCAGCCGCGGUAAUACGUAGGUGGCAAGCGUUAUCCGGAUUUAUUGGGCGUAAAGCGAGCGCAGGCGGUUUUUUAAGUCUGAUGUGAAAGCCCUCGGCUUAACCGAGGAAGUGCAUCGGAAACUGGGAAACUUGAGUGCAGAAGAGGACAGUGGAACUCCAUGUGUAGCGGUGAAAUGCGUAGAUAUAUGGAAGAACACCAGUGGCGAAGGCGGCUUUCUGGACGAAAACUGACGCUGAGGCGCGAAAGCCAGGGGAGCGAACGGGAUUAGAUACCCCGGUAGUCCUGGCCGUAAACGAUGGGUACUAGGUGUUGGAGGGUUUCCGCCCUUCAGUGCCGCAGCUAACGCGUUAAGCAUCCCGCCUGGGGAGUACGGCCGCAAGGCUAAAACUCAAAGAAAUUGACGGGGGCCCGCACAAGCGGUGGAGUAUGUGGUUUAAUUCGACGCAACGCGAAGAACCUUACCAGGUCUUGACAUCUUUUGAUCACCUGAGAGAUCAGGUUUCCCCUUCCGGGGGCAAAAUGACAGGUGGUCCAUGGUUGUCGUCAGCUCGUGCUGUGAGAUGUUGGGUUAAGUCCCGCAACGAGCGCAACCCUUAUUGUUAGUUGCCAGCAUUCAGAUGGGCACUCUAGCGAGACUGCCGGUGACAAACCGGAGGAAGGCGGGGACGACGUCAGAUCAUCAUGCCCCUUAUGACCUGGGCUACACACGUGCUACAAUGGCGUAUACAACGAGUUGCCAGCCCGCGAGGGUGAGCUAAUCUCUUAAAGUACGUCUCAGUUCGGAUUGUAGUCUGCAACUCGACUACAUGAAGUCGGAAUCGCUAGUAAUCGAGGAUCAGCACGCCGCGGUGAAUACGUUCCCGGGUCUU
This 1301-nucleotide ribosomal RNA is filed under the name human gut metagenome. RNAcentral's name for it is "bacterial SSU rRNA". It matches the Rfam family "Bacterial small subunit ribosomal RNA", at positions 94 to 1382 of the family's 1533-position model. The record is from RNAcentral.